RNAcentral lists this ribosomal RNA (385 nucleotides) under uncultured bacterium. RNAcentral's name for it is "bacterial SSU rRNA". It matches the Rfam family "Bacterial small subunit ribosomal RNA", at positions 30 to 417 of the family's 1533-position model. The record is from RNAcentral.
AUUGAACGCUGGCGGCAUGCCUUACACAUGCAAGUCGAACGGCAGCGGACCUUCGGGUGCCGGCGAGUGGCGAACGGGUGAGUAAUAUAUCGGAACGUACCUUUCAGUGGGGGAUAACGUAGCGAAAGUUACGCUAAUACCGCAUAUUCUGUGAGCAGGAAAGCAGGGGAUCGCAAGACCUUGCGCUGAUUGAGCGGCCGAUAUCAGAUUAGCUAGUUGGUGAGGUAAAGGCUCACCAAGGCGACGAUCUGUAGCGGGUCUGAGAGGAUGAUCCGCCACACUGGGACUGAGACACGGCCCAGACUCCUACGGGAGGCAGCAGUGGGGAAUUUUGGACAAUGGGCGCAAGCCUGAUCCAGCCAUGCCGCGUGAGUGAAGAAGGCCU